RNAcentral lists this small RNA (25 nucleotides) under Bombyx mori (domestic silkworm). RNAcentral's name for it is "ovarian small RNA-21553". Lineage: Eukaryota; Metazoa; Arthropoda; Insecta; Lepidoptera; Bombycidae. The record is from RNAcentral.
UACUGUCCAAAGCGGUGCGAUCUGA